UUUUUGUUUUUUUUUUUUUUUGGCUUUUUUGGGCCACAUCUGCCACCUAUGGAUGUUCCCAGGCUAGGGGUCAAAUGAAAGAUGCAGCUGCUGGCCGACACCACAGCCACAGCAACUCAGGAUCCAAACCUCACCUUUGACCUGCACCUCAGCUCAUGGCAACACCGGCUCCUUAACCCACGGAGCAAGGCCAGGGAUUGAACUCAUGUCCUUAUGGAUACUAGUCCCUGAGCCAAUGGGAACUCCUAGCUCUGUUUUUGAUGCUGAAGGACCCCUUUUGAUAAACAAAUACAAAUUAUCUUUUUAAAAUUAUACAUUGUAACUCUUUGUUGCUGGUCUAGAAGUCUUUUGUAAGAUUCAGUGCUUUUCACUAAGUAAAAACCGUGUUAGAAGGCAAAUAGAAAUAGACCUCCAGCUGAAACAUCUGCGGAAAAUUGCUGAGCCAUCCGGGGGCAGAGACGGUGGCCUCAAGAGUCUAAAAAAAGUACUUUCCUCUGAUGAGGGCAGCGAGUACAAAAUGAAAUGCUCUGUCACAGGAAAUAAAUGGUUGGAUGGUAGCCAUUCAGUGGAAAGUAAAACUGAUGGAAGCUAGGAGUGCGUUCUCUGCAGAAGUGCCAAGGUUGAAGUUGGAAGCCCUUGAGAAAUAUCUGUCUUUCCCAGUAAAUGCGUCUUCUUGUUCAGACUUAAUCUUUAGCCGGGCUCCCCUCGAUUGUACGCAGUGCCACCAAAACAUAAGUUUUUAGUCCGCCUAAUUCAGUCAUUCUAAUGAGCUGUGUUAAAAUAACUGUAUUCUGAGGAUUGUUUCUAUUCCUGUCCUAAAGUUCCCUUAAUUGACUUCUUCUUCCUCCCUCUGGGUACAAAACCGCCAGAAAGAAGAGCUGACAUCAAAAUGCCAUGGAAAAAGAGUAAAUACGGGGUUGGGAAUGAAAAUAAAAAUAGACGCACUUGAAUUUCAUGGAUGUUAGUUCUGUGAGGGCAGAUCCUCCUCUGCAGCGUUUAGAGUUCCCAGUCUGAGUGUCUGAUUCGGAAAAGCACUAUUUAGACUUGUCUUUCAUGUAAAACACACACACACACACACACACACACACACACACACACACACACACACACGCAUAUAUACCAGUGGGUCAUUCUGUGUCAUUCUGUUUGUGCAGCAUUUGGUCGAGAAUCUGUACAUUCCUGAGGAAGAAGGGUUUUGUUUUAUUCUUCUGUUUGCUAAAUCGCCUGUUGGAGCUUUCUCUUUCAUUCAGUAGUUAGGUGCUCAGUGCUUGUCUUGGAAUACUUUUUAAAAGUAUACAGUUCAUCUACAAGUUUUAAUAAUAAUUUCACGUAAUUAUAUUAACCCCUUGAUGGUGACAUUGAAACCUGUGAGCAGUUGUAGCAUUUUGGCUAAUUUGCACCACAAACUUUCAAGGUGAAAAUUAUAUUUUUCUUUCUAUCCUUCUUACAUUAUGGGUUAAAAGAUUUAUAACCAGAUAUUUUCUGAUAUGGGUAGAAGUGACAACUUGAAUUAUCACCCCAAACUAUUUUACAGUACAAAUAUAGCAUUUCACUAUAAACAGACUUUUUUCCCAUAAUGUUUUCGCUUGAUAGUUAUUACAUGCUGCUCAAUGUAAUGUAAUUUAUCAAUUUAUUACUUGUGUUUUUAAGUUGUAAGCAUACGUUCUAUUUCAUCUGACUUUUUUUUUUUUUUUUUGUCCUUUUACGGCCGCACCCACCACAUAUGGAGAAAUACACUCAAAAAAAAAAAAAAAAAAAAAAAAAAAAAAAAGUACAGAGAGUGGAGUCCAAAGAGUCUACGCAGGUCCAUCUGACUCUUGGAUGUAACCAGAUGGGUCACCUGGAAGGCAGAGCUGUAGAGAGAGUGUUCGAAGAAAGCAUUUCUAAAAAUGGGGCAUCCUUGCGAGGCCAGGGUCUGUUUGAAGGGGAAAGGAACCAAGGAAUGCACAUUGGGACAGAAGUUUCAAAGAAAACGCUGACGUAUGGACCAGAUAAUGCCUCCUCCUUGGGGGCUCAGGCUGUUGGGGAACCUUUGUUGGUGGUGGUGGUGGUUUGUUUUUAAGAGCUUUUUCCCCAAAUACAAGUUAUUGGAAUAUGGUUGAGUUACAAAGUUGUGUUUGAAGAGCAGGGCAAAGUGAAUCAGUUGUAUCUCCUUCCUUUUCAGAUUCUUUUCCCACCUAGGUGAUGGGACAAUACUGAGUAGAUUUCCCUGUGCUGUACAGCAGGUCCUUGCUGUUGAUUUAUUUGAUACAUAGUAGCAUGUAUAUGUUCACAGCAAAGUUCUAAUUGAUCCCCCCCUCCCCAGUUCCCCUUUGGUAACAAUAAGUUCUGUUUCAACAUCUUAAGAGUCUGAUUCUGUUUUGUAAGUUCUUUUGUAUCAUUUUCUUUUCUAUCAUUUUCAAUUCCACAUGUUAGUGAUCUCCUAUAAUACUUGCCUUUCUCUGUCUGACCCACUUCACUUGGGCUGACCAUUUCUAGGUCCGUCCGUGUUGCUGCAAAGGGCAUCGUUUCCCUGGUAACUUUGGAAGGUAGAAUAAGAUGGCAGUUAUAAAUAGUAGGAAAGGCAUGAACCCAAAUUGGUGUAUUGGAUGGAGGGUCUGUGAACACAGGUAAGACAGGACGGAUUCACUAGGAGAUGGAUUGGAAGCAGACAGUCUAGAAAGCUGCAGUAAAUCCAAGAUGCAGGUUCAAUCUCCUGCUGUUUGUUUCAUUCCUGAACUGUUAACAAGUUUUACCCAGAAAAUACCAGGUACUUGAGAUGAAGCCCAAAUGAUUAGCUUGUGUAGAGGGGAGAGCAGGUUAAUAACAUAAUUGCAUCGUCUGUAUUCAAUUUAAUCAUCUAAUAUGCAUUUUCUUUCUUUCUGUAAAGUCAUUUUUAAAUUAGGUUUAACCUGUACCCUAUCAUUUGGAAAUAAUUAAAAGCGUCCUUCUCCGGAAAUAAUCAAAUGGAGGACAAGGUUCCCAGGGAGAAUUUCCUUGAGUCAGGUGCCCAUUUGACAGAUCAAAUCCAACCAAUACAACGUUAUGACCAAGGGCCUUGGGUCCCAAGAUGGAAGGGGAGUUAAACAUGGGAAAAUCAAUCCUUGUUUGUCUCUGUUAGUCCAUGACCAGAAUAAAGAUGAAAGCCCAUAUAAUCAGCUUAGUAGAUGCA
Molecule: long non-coding RNA, 3151 nt
Filed under: Sus scrofa (pig)
Lineage: Eukaryota; Metazoa; Chordata; Mammalia; Artiodactyla; Suidae
Description: lncRNA (ENSSSCG00040032026.1)
Source: RNAcentral